This 155-nucleotide small nuclear RNA is filed under the name Sphenodon punctatus (tuatara). RNAcentral's name for it is "U4 spliceosomal RNA (ENSSPUG00000018990.1)". It matches the Rfam family "U4 spliceosomal RNA". From Rfam's summary of the family: U4 small nuclear RNA (U4 snRNA) is a component of the major U2-dependent spliceosome. The structure of U4 snRNA from yeast and human has been reported. The record is from Rfam by way of RNAcentral. Lineage: Eukaryota; Metazoa; Chordata; Lepidosauria; Sphenodontia; Sphenodontidae.
GCCACUGCACAGUGGCAGAAUCAUAGCCCAUGAGGUUUAACUGAGGUGUGAUUACUGCUAGUUGCAACCUUACUUCUGCCACCAUUAACCCUGCUCCAUUUUCUGGGGAUCUUUCCUUACCCCAGGUGCACAUCUCUUGCAAAAACUUGCAAGUU